Molecule: small RNA, 1969 nt
Filed under: Pan troglodytes (chimpanzee)
Lineage: Eukaryota; Metazoa; Chordata; Mammalia; Primates; Hominidae
Description: retained intron
Source: RNAcentral
GCCACUGCCCCCCCGCCCCACUCUCCCCUGUCUGUGUUCCCGGCUGUUCAGUCCAUAAAUGGGGCCCACAGCCUCCCGGAAACCCUGUGCAGGACUCGGAGAGAUCUCAGACACCCCUCCUUGAGAUGUUCCACAGUAACUGUGGCUGCAGCCCAGGGAGAUGCUGGAGGGCACUGUCCACCCUGAUGGUGGCAUGGGAGGGAGUGGCAUUCCAGGCAGAAGGAGCAGCCUCUGGGUUUGGGGGUCCUCUGGCAGCCAGGUAAGAAGGCUGGGUAAGAAAGUGAGGGCCUGGCUGGAGUGGCCCCAGCCCUGGCACAGAGAUGCAGAGUCUGGUGCUGGGCGGGAGAGCUGUGUGCAGAGGGCGGGGUGGGCAGGCGUUAAUGGAGGCCCGCCUGGGCCUUUGAUGAGGGCAGCGCCCGCCUGCCUGCCUGGCUAGGGGUUAAUUAGCCUUAAUCAAGGUGACACCUCCUUCCUCCACCCUCUCCCUCAGGCCUAGAAGGGAAGAAAGGGAGGGAGGAAGGCGGACAGGCGCUGAGAGGACCCACCCUAGCUGAACACAUAGCCUCUGUCACCCCUGCCACCACAGCCAGGGUUCCAGCGGGUCACCCACCACCCACCUUGGGGGUGAGGAAUGCCAACUGACCCAGGACACAGGGGUGAGGUGCUCAGCCAGGGAGGAGCAGAUGGAUGCCUUGCCCCAGCUUCAUCCCCUUAGCUGGGUCCCAUGCCCCUCAAGGCUCGGGGAGGGGGGUGCCUCCUCCUGAAAGCCCUCCUAGAUUGAUGUUUCCUCUGAGCUGCUCCAGCCCAGCCCAAGUGUAGGUAAGAGGCUCAUCUGUUUUCUUUGCUGGACUCUGAGUGCUGGGCAGGCACCAGGUCCCACUCAUCGCCGAGUUGGGGAUCCUAGGGUAGUGUCCUACGCAGGUGAGCACCUCACCAGUGGUUUGUUGGAUGAACAAGUGUAGCAUGUGCCUGUUGUAGAGGGGCUCUUGGCCUAAGGGAGAGGCAGGCAGGAGCUGACACGCAGGGGACAGGAGGGGACGGGCUCAUGCUGGCCCAGCAGGGCUCCGGCUUCACAGCUGGGGAGUAUGGGCUCUAACCCCAACCCACACCUCUGGCUCCAAACUUUGCAUCCUUAGUAAGCAGGUUGCCCUGUGAAGGAUGUGCAGCACAGGGCUGUCGGGGUGGGGAUGUGCCAGCCAGAGGUCCCAGCUCCCACAAAUGCCGGCCAGUGUGAAAAAUCCUAGUGUCUUCAAAGAACCACCAGGAAGUCAGUCUGGCCCAGAUCGGGGGGCAGUGGUCAUUCAUGCACUCACCAAAUGCUUAGUAAGCACCUACUAUAUGCUGGGAGACACAGCAAUGAACUAAAGAGAUGAGGCUCCUGCUCUCCUGGUGCUUCCAUCGGGAGGGGAAGACAGGCAGUAAACAAGUAGACACCCAGGUAAAUGUGCAUGUAGUGACUGGGACAGGUGCUUUGAAGGAGAGACAAGAGGGAGCUCCAUGGCGGAGCUCCAAGGGCUGGCUCCGCAGAGACCCCAGGGCAGGGAAGGAGCAGACAGCACUUAGAGUCAGGAGCUGCACCUGCAGGAUCCAGGGAGCCACCAAAGGGCUUGGAGCAGGGCAGGACUGGCCAGGUCACUGGUGGUGUGGACCAGAGUCCAGGGAGGAGGCUGGAGCUGGGGUAGCAGGGGAAAGAUUAGAGAGCAAAUCUUAGUGACCAGGGGAGGUGGGAGAGAGCUGAAGAGCCUCCCACGACGACCGCUGCCUGCCUUCCACUCGCCUGCAGGCUGGUCAUAGUGGCACUCAUCGGCGUGAGUGUGGCCUGGAUCCCCGUCCUGCAGGACUCCAACAGUGGGCAACUCUUCAUCUACAUGCAGUCAGUGACCAGCUCCCUGGCCCCACCAGUGACUGCAGUCUUUGUCCUGGGCGUCUUCUGGCGACGUGCCAACGAGCAGGGGGCCUUCUGGGGCCU